CCGUCAGUAGGUUGGUCGUGCCACCGGUACGUACUGGUCUCACUGAUUCCUCCUUCCUGAAGAACCGUAAUGCCAUUAAUUUGGUGUUGCGGGGAAACAGGACUGUUACUUUGAAAAAAUUAGAGUGUUUAAAGCAAGCUAACGCUUGAAUACAAUAGCAUGGAAUAAUGAAAUAGGACGAUCGAUCCUAUUUUGUUGGUUUCUAGGAUUGACGUA
RNAcentral lists this ribosomal RNA (216 nucleotides) under Glomeromycotina sp. RNAcentral describes it as "partial small subunit ribosomal RNA". The stretch from base 40 to 216 matches the Rfam family "Eukaryotic small subunit ribosomal RNA", at positions 686 to 864 of the family's 1831-position model. The record is from RNAcentral. Lineage: Eukaryota; Fungi; Glomeromycota.